UUACCUCCCCUUUAUCUGGCACUCCCUUAGGUUCUUUCCCUGGGCAGUAUUGUAUUAUUUUGUUCAUGUCUAGACGCUAUGCCUUAUUGGUCUAUGGUACUUGUGCUAUUCAACUUACCCCCUGAGUCUUGACUCCCGGCAUCUAGGUUACAGAAUACUGCUUCACAAAAUGGAAGCAGCAGAUGGUCGACAAGCAGGGAUACCUACUUUGUAAUCACCAUGACCAGCGGGCACAACUGGGGACGGCUAUGGAAGAGGCUCUUCGCAGUGUUCAACGUCUUGAACAUACCCGAGAGGAGCUGCCUUCAACUAGUGGAGGAUACUCUACCACCAGCCCAUUCAGCUAACUGCGCAGGUCAGCGACAUCCCUCCUGGAUAAAUAUGACAGCACCCCAUGUAAAUGCUGUGGCUUCUGACUACAGUAUUCUACUUUUCGCACCAGAUGGGGCUUCCUACUGCCGAGAGGUCCAAGGUUGCCACGGUUAUUUCUCUGCUGACUGGGUGGGCAUUGGAAUGGGCCAUAGAUGUCUGGGAGAGGAGCUGGAUUUGUAUGCUUGGUUCAGAGGUAUCUUUGAUCAUCCACUGGAGGGCAGAGAGGGGUGAGUGCCUACUCCAACUACGGAGGACCAGAUGGCUGCUGAGUACGCACUCAUCAUCUGGACAGUAGCAACAUCCAGUGGCCUGACUGUGCGAAGAGGUUCAGACGGGACUGGCCUAUAGAGGACAACCUCUGCUUGAUAUCACUCAUUGUGAUGGCCAUCCGGUUGGAUAACCUUUUUUUCGGGAGCAUCGGCACUCAUCACUUCUCUCCCUCCCUCAGUGAACACUUUGGAUCAGAGCCUGAACCCAUGGGGGUAGGGGUCACUUGCCUCCCCGCAGUGGAGCAAUGCAGGCGGCGAUUGCUGGGGCUCUGUCUCUAUUGUGGGAACCUGCUCCAGCAGUGUCCGAUACGGCCCAACUCGGGAUCCACAAGUGUAGAGGGAUGGUCACCUGAUCUUUUACUUCCUGGGGCAGAUCAAUAGUGGAUUCCUGUGCUGCGGGGAACUUUAUUGACCAGACCCUUGCCUCAACUUCAACUAAUACCCGCUCUCCUCGCCUUUCCUGGUUCAAGCCCUCUAUAAUCAGUAAUUAGGUUCCGGGACCAUCAGACACAUCAAACUACUCACUGCGCCCCCACGCUGAUGCAUCUACCCUCUGUCGGUGGCUGAAACCCAGGACAUCGAAGAGUACAUUCAUGAGGCGCUCCAACAAGGUUUCAUCCGCACGUCCACUUCUCCUGCGUCCGCAGAUUGGACCUGCGGAGUGCAUACAAUCAUCUGCAUCAGGGAGGAGGAUGACUGGAAGACAGCUUGUAGCACAAUAUCUGGUCACUGGAGGAUCACUUUGCGUGGAUGAAAAAUUAAGACUACAGUGGAGACCCUGAAUCAUCCCUCCUUCUGGAAACCACAGGAGAGUUGGGAAUGAGAGGAUGGGAAGUGUCGUAAUGCUGCCCAAGAGCUUCUAGAAGUGCUAUGGAGACAACCUGUCAGUGGAGAUCCAAGCUGCCGUCUGAAUUGAUGAUAAAGAUGGAUGGCAGAAAGCCCUACCCUGAACAUGUUGGUUACUACUCUCCAUGAGCACUAUGCUGAGGAUUUAGAAUCUGUUGACCUAAUGAAGAUGCUCCCUGAUCUCUUUGGAUGCGUCUACAUGUUGGCCAAGAAAAAGGGCUGGAAUUUAAGGCCUGGUCUGAAAAACGUAUUUCAGAAUGAUCUAAGCUCAUGGUUCUGAAAUGUGAAGUGAUGAAAUAUGACCUAUUGUAGUACUUUUGACUUUUGUAGGUAGAGCCACUGAUCUUAACUGUUAAGAACAUUUUAUAUUCUAUAUCUUCACAGAUCUAAACCAUAUGAUUUUUACGAAUCUUACAUGGUUAUAGCCUACAUAUUAUGGGAGUUCAUAUGAAAAUACAGUACACACAAAACUUUGAUCAAAUUAGUAGUUACUUUUUACUUCAGGUAAGGCAUUCAGGAUUCGUAUUAAUAUGAAUUAUCUGUAUGAGAUUUCAGGGAUAUCUGGAUUGAAGUGUUGACAUCCUUUAAAAAAAAAAUCUGUUUUCCUUGAUAUGAAGUCUGCCCAAGAGUGCAUUGAAACAUGAUUGUAUUUCUUAAAUCCGUAAUCUAUCAAUGGAGGAGCUGUGAUGCUCUCGUGGAUAGAACUGUGACGGUUACAAAUGUAGUGUUGAUCAGCAACAGUUUUCUAUUAACCACCCUAAAAUGUUAAUGCACCUCUCAACAUAAUAAAUGGUAUAAAAGAGCAAAGUUAUUGUUUUUGACACACCCAGACAUUCCCGCCCACCUGCAACAGCUGCUGGUGUAGAGUAAACAAACUAGUAUGCAGUAGGAACAAAACAUUGUCCUCUUUCUGGUAUAAAGCCACACAUCCAGCACCAAACCAACCACAAUGAAAAGCCGACCUCUGAGUCACCAGGAAUUCUGACAGAGGGUAGUAGAACUACUGUCACCUCUGACGCCAGGUGGUCGCUUAGCCCACCCGGUUAGAUGGAAAUCAUACCAAUCACACCAUUCAGGGGACUGUGGUUGACAUGAUGUGUUGUAAACGUAACUGCAUGUUUUGUCAUCUUUGGGUUAAAGGAAGCACUCUGUACAUUUCUGUUGAAUUGUUAGAUGUAAUAUAUAGGCCAUUCUUGCAUGUCAUUUACCGUUUAUGUGACUGUGGAGAACCUGACGUGAGCCUGGUAUACCCCAACCUGAGUAAUGGAAUCGACAGGUUUGCUUCAAGUAUUGUCUUAUCAUUGACCUGUUAGGGUGUUUGUAAAUAUACAUUUAGAUUAUUUUGUAAAUAUUGUCAUUUGAACAUCUAAAUCACCAUUGUCAUUUUUUAAAAUAAACAACUUCUGCACGUGAUCCUGCCUGCCUCCUGCAACAUUUAACCGUCCAAAAAUAGAUUUAGCAACAAAGGAUUUAGGGCCUACAUUCAACAUGCAAGAAGCGAUAAGUUGGGCUUACAUCUUAGAUGGAAGGGCAUAGUACAAAAUGAAUAGCAUGCAUUUCCAUCUACAGUUUGGUUUAGAAAGCUGUGGCUAAAAAUAAUUGUAUCCAUUAGUGUACAUUGUCUAAAACAAACCAAAGAAGGGGUUACAAUUUCGGAGUUAUUUCCGGUCACUGCCGCUGGACCCGAUGCAAUGUGAAACAGGGAGUUGUAGUUCUUCACAGAAAGCGUAGGUGUAUUUGAACCAUUGUAGUUCCUAAGCACUGACAUUUAAACGUUUUUGUUCUGGAAUCACAAUCAUGAAGCACCCCUUAAAUGUAUUGUCUCUACAUUCUUGCCCUUUGUGCUGUUGUCUGUGCCCAAUGUUUGCACCAUGUUUUGCAACCAUGUUAUGUUCUGUUGCUACCAUGUUAUGUUCUGUUGCUACCAUGCUAUGUUCUGUUGCUACCAUGCUGUGUUAUGUGUUGCUGCCUUGCUAUGUGGUCUUAGGUCUCUCACAACAAGUGUUGUGUUGUCUCGUUGUGAUGUGUUUUGUCCUAUAUUUAUGUUAUUUAUUUUAAAUGUUUAAUCCUAGUCCCCGCAGGAGGUAUUUU
Molecule: long non-coding RNA, 3578 nt
Organism: Oncorhynchus kisutch (coho salmon)
Lineage: Eukaryota; Metazoa; Chordata; Actinopteri; Salmoniformes; Salmonidae
Exons: 6
Source: RefSeq, a predicted model, not a curated record